This 41074-nucleotide long non-coding RNA is filed under the name Capsella rubella. RNAcentral's name for it is "long non-coding RNA (CRUB_LNC001103)". Lineage: Eukaryota; Viridiplantae; Streptophyta; Magnoliopsida; Brassicales; Brassicaceae. The record is from RNAcentral.
UGGUAUCUAGUCUCUUAUCUCACUCAAGUCUAGCCGUGUGGUAUUAUGAUUGCAGAAUAUUGAUUGAAUAGUAUUUGUCUGCAUCAAACCAUUGGAACAAAAUUGUUGAAAAGUGUAAGAUACUGUGUGAGACUCCAUGGAUAAUGAAAAUUGUUUAAUGGGUUCUUAUACAUCCAAUACAGCUGAAAACAAAAGGAAAGGAAUGACAUUUCGGUUCUUCUACAUAAAAAGUGCUUCUGAUCGCAAUACAUCAUCCUCUAUAGCAAAAUAACAAUGACAACAAAAUACGUCAAAAGCUAUUCCAUGGGAUCUUUCACUGUUUCACAAAACGGAUUUUUAUCUUCUCCAAAGAAAAGCAAUACAGGUGAAGCUAAGGUUCUGUGACCAAAACCACAUUAUAUACACAAGGAUUGGAUUCCUGCUGUUAGCUUCAUCAAAAGUAAAAGCUAUUCAGCUCUGCCUUGGUUUUUCUCGCCGUGAAAAGAUGAGCCUUACGAUAGAAUAUAGUACCGCCUUAAUGCAAGAAACCACAAAAUUCCAACAUGAGGAUGGCCAGUACCACGGAUAUAGCAGCCUGAAAAAUAGACUAAUGAGAUGCCUCGGGUAACGCCCGACCUGCAAGACAAGAGUAUCACAAUGUUACAAGCCAAGCCUACUCCAUAUUUGUGAUCUACUUCCAAGCGUUUGAGUGGAUUUGUGACUGUUUUGCUGAGCUUUGGGUCCUUCUAGAUAUAAGCGAUUUUUAAAAUUCUUAGACUGUCUUUAAAAACAGUGCACUUAUGGAUCUCGCAGUCAAAACAAUGCGUUUAAAUCUGAUUUUUUUAUACACAAAGAAAUACUCACAGGGAAAGAGGGAAUCCAAAGAAUCCCCAGGCUGCAUGACGGACAGCUCGUUGUCGGGUACAUUGGACCUCCAGGAGAUGUAAAACUAUAUAAACAUGCCUUUAACCUCGUGCUGGUGGUCAUUCUCAGUUCCAUACCUGCAGAUGUAAUUCAACACUGCUUAUACUUUGAUUCCNNNNNNNNNNNNNNNNNNNNNNNNNNNNNNNNNNNNNNNNNNNNNNNNNNNNNNNNNNNNNNNNNNNNNNNNNNNNNNNNNNNNNNNNNNNNNNNNNNNNAUUUUUUGGUAAAACACCACUUUUAAAAUUUACCCCAUUUUCAAACUUUAUCAAAAAAUACUCAAAUUUUUUAAUUUAUCCAAAUAUGUAUGUAAGCUUAUUUACACUCAAAUCUAGGUAAUGUCAUGCGCAUGCACAGAUUGUUGUAUAUUAAAUUAAUUAGUUUAAAUUUAUUUAAUAAUUAUAGAAAUAGAAUAAAUCAAUUUUAAUAUCAAUGAAAUAUUUACACUUUAUUUAUUUAAAUCAUACAGUAAGAGAAUACAUCUAUAUCUCUUGAGUUUAUUCACUGAUUUAUUGUUCAAUUUUUGUAGUAAUUUUAUUCCAGUACUUUUGAGCAUUUUUAGGUAAAACAAUAAUAUUGCUAAUGAUAAAAAUAUAAACUUACUAUGAUUUUGAAUCCCAAACGAUAAUAUUUUGUAAUAUACUAUUUAAUAUAUUUUUUUCAUAUAAACUCACACAUAACCUAAAUUAUUUAGUAAUUAAAUCUAAACUAUGUUGAAAGUAACAAAUUAUAUAUAUUUCCUAUAAAAUCAUAUGAAGUGCAAUCAAAGUUUAUUAAAAAUCAUUUUUUAUUUCCUAGGUAAUCAAAAUGUGAGAGAGACUAUAGAUUUUUCGGGGAGAUGUCUAGGUGUUGGGACUCGAUACCACCUGCCGACUGAGCUCUCAAGGAGGGACAGAGAAGCGGGAAUUAAGCCAGACCUUGAGAUUGAUGCAUUCAUGAAAUCCAUUGCCAUAUCAGAGCGCUACUUUUAUUCAAAUCAUACAAUAUAAUCAUACAGACAUAUUUCUUGAACUUGUUUUAUUAGUAAUAAAGUGUGAAUUUAAUGUAUAAAAAUGUAGAUUAAAUGUGUUUUUUGGUUUAAAUAUAAUUAAAUAUUGCAUUACCUAAUGGACCAAUAAAAUUCAAAGUUAAUAAAAUUUAUAAUGAUCAUUAUCUUAUUAAAUGUUGAAUCACGAACGUAAUAUAAUGAUUAUUAUUACAAUUUAAUUGUAUUACAAUUUUUUCAUAAUUAUAUAACAAAAAUUUAUUUUGUUAAAAAAUUACAUAAUUUUAAAAUUAAAAUAAAUAUACAUGAAUAUGUGAAAAAGAAAAAAACAUCUAAAGUUAAAGAAUGAAGAUGGUUUCUUUAGCUUGAUUUUAUUAUUGUGCAAUGGUCGGGAAUCAAAUUAUUUGAAUCCCAUCAAUAAAAUAGCUUUCUUAUAGCCAUAAAAUAUUAUUAUACAUAUGUAUUAUACAUUUAAAAAGUUAUAAAAAUGAAGAAAUACAUAUAAACAAAGAAGAAAUAAAAUUGAAAACAAAAGUUUAAACCAAAUAAUUAAUCAAACUCUUACAAUGAUAUCUUAAUUUAGUUGUCAACCCAUGCAAGAACUUUUUAAAAAACAAAGAAAAUAAUUAAGAUAUGAGAUAUGGUGGAGGAGGAUGUGAGAAUGGUUAUUUAUAGGAUAAGAAGUGAUGUAAGUUACAUUUUGAAAAUAAUUAAAUUAGAAGAGUCAUAAUUAUAAUAUAUAGUGUGUUUAAUUGAAAUUCAAUAAAGAAAAUCAAUAGUCAAUUGAAAAUUUAUAUAACUUUCAGUUACAUUUUAGUAGUAAAGUGUGAAUUUAAUGUAUAAAUUAAUGUAUAUGAUUAAAUGUGCUUUGGGAGAGAGAUUAGAUAAUGAUUGCUUCCUUCUUUUUUUAAAAUAUAUAAAUCAAUGAAUGAAUGGGGUCUGUGGAUUUAAAUCCCCUAUAUAGUAAAAGAGAAGUACAAAAAAUUUCUCGGGUCGGUUUUUGUUAAGAAAUUAACCCGAUUUACUAUUCGGAUCCUUUCCUUAAUAUUUGUUCGAAAUUAGUGAUGUUUAAUCGGACACCAAUGCUAAUAAUCUAAAAUGGGCCUCAAUUUUGGGCCUUCCACGGACAUUUACCAAACACAACGACAUGCCUUCAAUUUAGUAAAUCGUAAUAUGGAUAACUUUAAAAUAAGGUAUACUAUAUUAUGCCAUAACUGUAUUUGAAUAGUUAGAGUAUAAACGGUAUAGUAUACAAUACUAACAAUAUUAGUAUACCAACCAAAACAAGAAGUUAUGAAUCAACGUAAUAUAGUUAUUACGAUUGUUAUCAUAAAAAAAAAAAAUUAUGCCAUAACUGUAUUUUAAAUUUAGAAGCUAAUUUGUACACUCAUAUUAUAUAAGAAUUUAAAAUUUCUUAUUUUUCAAUUAUACUCAUUAUAUGUCAUGAUUCAAUUAUAUAUAUUUAAUUAUGCUUCUAUUUUUUCAUUAUUAGUCAUUUUUCAUGAUUCUUUUUAAAAUAGACGGGUCUUUGCGGGUUGGUUCGCCAUAACAAACAUUGUAAGUAUGUAAUUUUUGUAUACACGUUAUUUUAUUUUUUUAUUUAAAUAAUUUAUUCAUUUUCGAAUAGACACUUUUUCCAAAAAAAUAUUAUGUAGACCCUACAUACACAAAUGAUGAAUACACAAAAUUACACAUAUGAUAAAACACGUUAAAAAUAAAAUAAACUCGAAAACAUUCCCCCGCGCUGUAGCGCGGGUCCAAAUCUAGUUUAUUAUUAAAUGAUGAAUCACAAACUAAAUUUUAAAAAAAUGUAUUACAAACUUUUGGAAGUAAAGACAGGAGAGGAGAAAAGAGGAUAGAUUGCUGCUUGCUGAGUCAUAGUGAUGCCAUAGAUCAUUAUCCAAAAACGACGUCGUUAUAGCCUAAUUACUGGUGAUGACGUGUCGCAUUGAUAAAGACACGUGUCUCUCAUCUGCCCCUUGUUUAGUUCUAAAAGAAAAUUUACGUCAUUGUUGUUGCGGUUGAGUAGAUUCGUAAUAAGAACGAUUUAUUUUAAUAAUAAUGUAGUGGUUUUUUUUUUGUUUUUCAAAAUUUGUUAUGCAAUACGACAAUUUUAUAUCUAAUUGUAGAAAUUGGAAAGAAAAAAAAAAUUUGAUUCAUCAGAGCUACUCUUGAGAUAUCAUUAUCUGUUAUGGAUCAAGACAUCAUUGUCACUCGUGGCAAAGAGAAAAUGUAUUAAACCCAAUACCAUAAAUGGAGGGAAAAGUAAAGUUUACGCGCAAUGGAGUAAAUUUUGUAAAAAGCUGCUACUUUAUUCAAAACUUGAACCUGACGUUUUGUCUUCGUGAUACUACUGCGGACGGUACAUAUUCUUAUUGGGCCUGGUUAUGGUAUAUUGGACUCAGAAGUUUGGACAUUUUCAUUAGUAUUUUGUUACGAAUUGAAAGCCCAUGCCAAAUUAGCUUCAGCGAAGUGUCAAUGGUGGAAGAUUUGGGUUUACAGCGCACGAGUUAACACAUCUCUUCAAUUGUCAAAUUCAAAAGCAAAGUAAAAAAAAAAAAAAAAAAAAAAAAAAACAGAGUCGAAUCGAGCGGUUUCAUCAAGUUUCAGUCUGAGUUUAACUUGUUUCUUUUUCUAGGUUGAUAUGAUUUCGAUUGAUUUCACAGACAAGAUGUUAUUCCGAUUGAAGCAUCCAAUGGUUCAAGCUGCUAUUAAGGUUUGUUAUUCUCUUAUUUUUAGUUUAGACAUUGUUUUAUUUAAGAAGAAGUUGUGUGUUAUCUCAUUGUUUUUUCUUUGCUUCAACUUGAUGAAUUUUCUAAUGGGCAGCGAGGUAUUUACUUUGAAAUCAAAUACUCUGAUCUUCUCCUAAUGGAUGCACAAACAAGGAGACAAGUUAUAUCGAAUGAUAAGGUGAGAUAUUUUGAUUAAUUAGGCUCAAGUAUCACAUUGUAUAUUUGUUGUAUUUGUAAUGUGACGGUGAACUUGCUUAUACAUUGUCUUGUGAUAUGGGGUAUUUCUAGUUAGUAGUUACUGGUGGAUUGGACUAGGGGGAAGAAUCUGAUUAUAUCAAGUGGUGGCUCCUUCAGUCACAGAAAUUAGAGGUCCAAACGAUGUCAUAAAUCUCAUGUCCUUGCUUGGACUCUCUACUGAAAGAGCCAGAGCUGCCAUUUCAAUAAAUUGUAGGUAUGUAUCCCAAUUCUUCCAGCAAUUGUGUUAUGUGAUUUAGCUAAGCGUACAUUUAUGUCACUGAGGAUGGAUUUUGAAUCGCUUCCAGGAAUACGAUAGCCAAGGUUUUAAAGAAAAAACGGUUCCACAAAGAUGCUUUCAGGGUUGAAUUACUUUCUUCUGGUGAUACUUUCGUUUGAAUUUCCUCAUUUACAAACCUAACCUAACACAAGUUUGGACUAUAGGAUUCAGUCUAAUGUAACCUCAACACAUAAUGUAGGUAAGACGCAAUCUAAGAGGAGUAGAGUUAGAUUACCGCAACUACUGCCUGUUAGGCCAUUUCUACUUCAAUCAAGAUUCAAACAGAUCAGUUUGGAAAAGAAAACAUGGAAGAGCUUGAUCAAUUUACUUUAAAACCAUAGAUAAGUUUUGUGCAUUCUCUUAAUUUAAACCCCACGCAAGUCUCGUGGUUCUCUUUGUGUUGAACCGAUUAUAAAAAAAGUGGGGAAAAAAAGAAAGAAUCUAAUUUAUUCUCAAGCGUUGAUUCUUUGUGUACUCGUCUUCAAGAAAAAAUAAAGCAUUUAAAUUAAAAUAAAUAAUAAAAAGUGAAACAAAACAAUGUUUAAUAAGAGUGGAGAGUCGGUAAAUCUACCGCCGGCCGACAAAAGUCGGAGACAUUAUCGCCGGCGGGCCUACAACUUCCUUCUAUAGCCUUUGCUAAAGAAGAAAGAAUGCUCUCUUUACCUUUUUCAAAACUAUACUUAAAAACUUUAUUUAAAUGUAAUUAAGGACCAUUAUUCUUUACGUUUUUACUAAUUACGUGAUUGGAAAUUUUUUGUUUUUCUUACAAAAUAUAUAUAUAUAUAUCUAGUGUGUGUUGUCUCGGUUGAUUACUUUAGUUUAGUUUACUUGAGUGGAACCUUCUUUGAUAUCUUAAGCAUGUCUAAGGUUAUAAUAUAUGUUUGCUUUUUGGAGAUUGCUAGUACUUACUACUUAGUAGCACGAUGUGUAAUCAACGUGAGGGUAAUGAAAUCAUCAGAGUAACAUGGCCAUGUUCAUUAUAUGUUUUUUUAAUGCUAAAAAGUUAUCAUCUUUGUACUUUCUAAAAUACUUUUGUAUCAUCAACUUGGUUAAAAUAAAAUUUAUGACCAUUAAGGAACAUACUUAACUAUAUAUAAACUAUUUACCGGGUCCAUGUUAGUAAUAAUGAUAUGCCAAGAAAAUUUUGUUUUAGUUUGAGUUCGAUUAUUACUUUUUGAUUCUUUUGUGUUUUGUCCUCUAUAACUCACAUUACGAAUUUUUUAUCGAAAUAAUACGAUAUUGCAUUUCAACUAGACCAUGUUCGAGGUGAAUAUCGUUUUGGUUAUAACCUAACUACAACCCCAAUUUAUCUCAAUUAGAGAACUUGGGAUCGAACUCUCUAUGCCAUGCCAACAAUAUUGUCAAAGCUCCGAUCCAAUAUACCACUAGUUUAAAAUUGUCGGGUCAGUGAAGAUCGAGUAUUUUGCAAAUAUCUCCAAUCAAAAGUACAAAAUAUGUUGUUAUUAUUAUAUACAAAGAAAACACAAAACCUACAUGAGUUUAGCAACAUGGGGGCAAUCAUUUAAACCAAAAACAAAUUGAAGUGCCAUAUAAACAUAAGUAAGUAAAGAAAAACAAACAUAUGUAAAUACAUAAUUAGAAGGGGAUUAGUUAAGGAAGUGAUUAGCGGAGAAAGAAUCAAGAAAAGAUGCCCACGUGUCAGCAUCUCCAACCACGGCUUCCAUAACAUCAACUUGUUCUUGUUGUGACAUCUCAUCGUUUCUUGCAAAUCUUCCUCUUAUCCUUGGCCUACUGUCCGCUAAUGUCUUCCUGCACUCAUACUAAUUACACCCCAAAAAAAAAAAUUAUCAUUAAACUCGUCCCAAAUUAAUGUUAUAGUUAGAUCAUUUACAAUUUACAAACUUGUAACAGAAAACAUCUAACUGGGACACGGUUUAAUGUGUUUGUAUACCAUAUAUACGAAUACUCCAAUUAUCUCUAAUUGGGAAAUGUUUUUUUUUUUACAUUAUCAUCUAAAUGAAUAACUAAUGGAGAAAUAAACUUAUAGCAACCUAACCUUGGAGCUUUGAUGUGUCUAUCUCAAAAGAUUCCUUAGACCCAAAUCUGAUGUGACAGAACAUUAAUUCUCUUUCACAUACUCAUAUAUAUAUAUAUAUCAAAUGAAAAUUCUAUUUUCUUGUUCGAAGAUAAGAUUAAAAAGAAAAAUUCAAUGUUACUUUUUUAGUGAUAAGAGUGAUUGAUAUGAUGCAUUGAGCCAGUUUUAUUUUUUCUUUUCUAGUUUGGUCAACGAACAAUUUUAUUUUGUAUUAAACGUGAUAUUUUUGAUUAUUGUUUUGAAAAACAAGUUAUAUAAAUAAAGUUGGUUUUAUGAAAAUAGAUAUAUGCGCAUCCCCAAAUGCUUUUGUAUGAGUGAUACAUAAUUGACAGGUGAUAUUAACGGAGACAAUUAUAGGAAACAAUACGUUUGAUUAGAAAAUGGAAGGGUUAGCAUCAAUAAGUGUGCAGGUGCAUGUCACUGUGUCAUACAACUACACUAGCAUGUCAAGUCUUAAAAAGUUUCCAUGCGACACUUAUAUAUAUUAUAUACACGUUGAAUAUGUAAUCUAGUUUAGGUAUACAUAUCACAUAUGUACUCUAUGUGUUGAAGACCAAUAUGAAUCAAAAAUAUACAAUUCAUAUAUGCAAGAAAUAAAAUAAAUUUAUUUAGAGGAAAAUUAACAUAGAAACAAAUGUAGAAAACAUAUAAAAAUUACCUUAAUCCUCUUGUUGAAAUUCCUAAGGUUUCUUUUGCUACGAUAUUUCUCGAUCUUUUCUUUCUUCUCUUCGGGGCUGUACUUAUAGGCUUUGCUCAUUCCUUCUAUUAUUGCAUUGCUCUCACUCCACACCGCACUGCUCUCUCUUCUGCUACUUCUCUACACACAAACCAAAACACAGUGUCGUUUUGUGUCAUGAUAUACUUUGUAUAGGAUGCUAAAUAAUUCCUCAACGUAUCAAUUCAUGUUGGGGAUAUAUCAUAUAUGUCUAAUCAUCAUAACCAAAAAAAAAAAACGCAGCCGGAGCUAACUAAUACGUCUAUAUCAGUUUAGGUCAUGCAAGUGUGUGUAUAUAAUAUUAACUUACGGGUAGAUCUCCGGCGCUAAGGGCCCGUCUCACUGGCCCAUCAUCAUCGUUAACGAAAUCGUGGGCCGGCGCAAAAGUACCGGAAAAGCCAUUAUGGCUACUAACACUCCUCUGCAUAACAAGACUCUCUCCACCGCUUCCCAUAGAGCUUGGUGAGUCGCAACUACUGCUUCCGCCACCACCGUUUAUGCCGGAAUCAAAGUAACCGAACCCUGAAACCGCCUCGGCAGGGAACAGAGAGUUGUGGCUCAUCAUAAGAAGCGGCAGAGACGGAGGAGGGUGGAAGUGAUGAUUGUGAUGAUGAUCAUGAUCAUGUAGCUGAGGAGGAGCAACUAUGUUUUCAGAGUAUAGGAAACAUGGACAAUUGUCGCCGGAAGUGAUGGAAGAGCUUACGUGUCCACACAUGGCGGGUUUUGGUUUUCUUGUGGUGCGUGUGUUUAUGUUUCUUUGUGUUUUGUUUGUGUGUGUGUGUGUGUGUGUGAGUGAAACUCCAAGUGGUUGGGUUUCUAUUUAAACAGAGCAAGGAGAAGCUGAGGUCACUGAUCGUCAUCGAUGGUCAACUGACUUAACCGUUGACUUCUUUUGACUGACUAUAAUAAAAAGGAAUCUCAUAUAGCCUUUCGUUUUCACGUCGUUUCUAUCUCACUCUCUCACCCGUUAUUAUUUCGUUUUAUUUUCUCCGAACACAACUGAAUUUAACAUGUAUCAUACGAAGUUGAUACUUUAAAUGAUGAUUAUUUUUUACUUUUUUUUUCAUUUAGAAUGCCUGAAAUUGUUUUUUGAUAAUAAAAAAAUUCAACUAGAUUUAAGAAAUAACAAUUCUUCAAUAAUUGUUAUUCUUGAGCAGCAAUGUCAAUAAUAAACGCAAAUAAAGAGAGCUAGUAACAAUAUAACUCUUAUUAAAGAAAAAUGUUAUUCUAUUGAUUUAUGUAUUGGCUUACUCUUUUCAUCUCUUAACACUUCAGUGUUUUAAAUUAAACUUGUACAUUUUACAGCUUUACAUUUUUUUAAUAAAGAUAUAUGUUUAAACCAUAUAAUAUAAUUUUAAGUAAAUAUUAGUAGAAACAUAAAUAUAGAAUAAUACCAAAAACCAUUUUGUUUCUGAUAAAUAUGGAAGCAAUAAUCAUUUCUAAAAAUCCCUUAAAAACAAGAAUCAAAAUUAUUUUAAAUUUGUAGAUAAAUAAUAUCUCGUGCAACAUUCUUAACUGCAAAAGAGCCAUGGAAAUUUAUUAAAACAAAAAACAAAAUAUGAACAGUGGAGAGAAAAAAUAAAAAUAAAAACUAAAGGAAAGACACGACUUAGCUUUUUAGAUGGAAAUGUAGGAGAGACAAAAAGAUGGUUAAAAGCAUUAUUUCACGCAAAACCAUGUGAGCAGCACAAAUCUACUUUAUUACCUAAUUAAUCAUUUACUUAAUCAACACUAAUUAAUCAAAGCUCAAAUACAUGUUCACAUUAGAUGGGUAUUUUUUAGUCCGGAUAAUAAACCAAGACCAAGACCAACAACAGCAAACACUAUAAAUAUUAUUGCUAUUUGCUAGCUCUGAAUUUGAAUUAGAUCGAACCGUUUCAAUCCAUUAACAGAUACUCCAGGUUAGCCAGAAUUGUUUAGGGAAUCAAAACGAAUUAGGUAACAUAACGAAAGAAAUAUCUCAAAUGAGUCUACCCCUUAAGGUGAAUUAGAUAAGUAUUAUUGUUUAUAUAUAAUUGUUACUUUAUGCUUCAUAAUUACAUUCCAAAAACGACAUUCGAAUAGUAGGAUUACUGCAUAUAUUGUAGGAACACGUUUUAGUCAGUCACUAAAUCUGCCUACUCAUCAUUAGAUACAUAUAUAUCAUUUCUCAUUCACUAUGAUCAAACAACUUCUAAUGUUCCUGUCAAAGCCACAUUUUUAUCCUUAAUUAGGACACAUAAUCAUCCCACUCUCCAUCUUUUUCUAGCAAAAAACCUUAACACACAUAUUAGAUACUACUAGAAAUGAUAUUGAUUAGAUUUAUCUAACUCUAGUCCAAUUGAACCAAGCCAAGAUUAAACUAGAAUGAUUUUGUUUAAUUAAUUAUUCUUUUGUAUACACAAAAAGAACUGCAUCAACUUAGAUGAGAAUAUAGGAUCAUCCUCCUUAUUUCCCUUGAAUGAAGGGAAAAUCCUAUUUCUUCCAUAUUUUUAUAAUCAUCCCAUAUUUUUAUAUACAUAUUGGUACGUUUGAUAAAUGUAUUUGAAGAAAUUUUUUUCCUUUGGAGAUCACUUCUCUGAGCCAAUUUAUAUAAUUUUCUUUUAUGUAUGGGGUAAAAGGUCCAACGAGAGCAUCUUUUUCCAUGUACAAGAUCGGCUCUGUAGGUCCUUCACAAUCAUCGAAAUAAAAUAUAGAUAGCUUCAUUUUUUUUUUAUUUUUUUUCUUUUUAGCUUCAUAUUUCUUAUAAAUGAAUGAUUCUCUUUUUAUUUCAUAUAAACAUAUUAGAGACAUUCCAAAACUAAAAAAAAAAAAAAAAAAAAAAAAGUAUAUAUUUUCUACACUGCAUUGUCCCACAUAAUGAGGAGACAAAAGUAAUAAUUCGCAAUCGUUACGAGGACAUAUAGGAUCUCGAGUCCUACAGUGGAUAGAUGUAGUACUAUGGGGACUAAACAGAAAGACAUUUUUGUGUAUCCUUAAGGGCAAUAUCGCCCACAAGUUGAUGGGAAAGGUCAUGCAAAAGCUAUAUCUAUACAUCAAUCGAUGGUUACCAAGACUUUUUCUAUUUCGUGGUAAACUUUCUUGCAUUAUAUAUAUAUAUAUUUUUUUUUUUUUUUUUUUUUUUUUUUUUGGAAACGUCUUUCUUGCAUUAUAUAUGUACCCUAAAAUACUAAACGUUUCAUGCUUUGGUUGGUUCAUAACUAGUUUCGAGUUUUGACGAUCCAAUAAGAAUUGUUGUUUUUGUUUUCAAUAAUUCAUUAUUGUUUUUUAUCACCACUGGAGCAAAUUAUUGGUUUUAUAUAUACUUUCGCAAGUUUCUCUCUAUCUUCUCUUCAGUAACCCACUUUGGUUAUUUUGACAGCCAACAAUUUUAACUACUAGUUGUAGAUUCAUGAAGAAGGUCAACGGUUCAGGAAAACGAUGAUAGAAUAAAGGAAAUAUUUUAAUAUUUAAAUUCUAAUUAGUAGUGAAACUAAAUAAAUAAUUCUAUGUGAAAUAAAACUCACUCAUAUAAAAUUACACAGUACACUCAUAAAACUGAACUUUGUUAUAAUCAUGUGAAUUUUCCGCCACGACUACAUGGUGACUAUGGAAUAUUUUGCACUUUUAGCACUAAAUGAUACGUAAAUAACGUAUAAUAUUUAUAUGAAACCUCAUGGUUUUAAUUACUAGGAAUUUUGUAGUGUUGGUCAUGUUGUAUAUCAAACAGAGUAUAUGUUUCAUGUCCGAUUGUCUUAACCUAGUAAGUGUCUUUAAUGUCCAAGCCUCCAAGACAUUUAGCUGCUAUAACCACACAUGCAAGUCCGUAGACAUGUAUCCUGAUAUUCGAAUCUACAAUCUCACACUUAAGAAAAUUCCAUUCAUAAAAUAAAAUAAAAAGGUAAGCGGGUCCAUGAAUGGCAAUAUGCAAAUUAUAUAUAGUCCAUGCCUAUAGAAAAGCAAUGAUAAUAGCAUAAAUGUAGGCAAUGAGUACACAAAGAGUUUAUGAUAAAAAAAAAAAAAAUGAAAUGUGUAGGGUUUACUUGUUCUUGGUUGAAAGAAAAAUAAAAGUAUCUUCAUGACAAAUCAAAGAAAGACUAGAUGUUUUUUUUUUAAGUGAUCCCAUCAUUUUGUUUUAUUGUUUUGAUAUAUUACUUUUUUAAUUGUUAAUUAGGACUCGUGCAUGUGUUCCUAUGCGUUUGUCUAAUCUUUUGGAAAGGAGAAAAAGGUCAACAAGCACAAUAGUUUCUCCACCAUUUUCACAUAUAUUCUCCAAUUUGUUGUUUUACUCACUCGUUUUCAUAUAUCGAUUCACGUCAAACUUUGGAUUCUUCGUUUUUGUUUUCAAAAAAAAGAAUUUUGGAUUUCAGUUUGAUCAUAUAAUUUUCAGUUUAGUAAAGAAAUAUCUAUCGAUUUACAAUUUUGAUAUUUCAUGUUAGUUAAGAUUAUGAAUCGAGUUUUAGUCCACCACACUCUUCCACAUAGCCCACUAUGGAGUAUGGACAGUGAUUUUUGUCAACAAAGAAACGGACAACUAUAGAAAUUUUGAAUAGCCAAAACAAAAACACAAUUAUUUAUAUGUUUUGUUUUGGAUUAAUAUAAAUUUUGGCCAAAAUAAUGUAAAUAUAUGGAAAUUUAUGAAAAUAGAACGUUCAUCAUCCUACCAACCAGUUUAUUCGGCUAUGUGGUUAUAAAUAUAUAAUGAUAUAUUUUUUUUAAUAAUCAAAGAGGUUCUGGGCCGAAACACAUACAUCCCCUCAGGCCCGAGACCAAAGCAUGUUAUAUGGUCUCGUCCUAAGCGCUACUCGAACCUGGGACCUCUAAGCUUUUGCCAGAGAUCUAGAAUGAUAUUUUCGUAGCAAUGCAGUUUAAAAUGAUGGCUACGUGAGUAGUUUAUAGUGUAUACAUGGUAUAGAUAAGCUUAUAACUGAUCUAUUUUCUAUAUAUUACCUUAUGUUAAAAUCCGUCAUUACAAUCUUUUUCUAACAGUUUGAAUUAUACAUAAUUUUGUAUCCCUUGUUGAGUUGUUUCAACCCUAAUUUUCUCUAAUCUAUAAGAUUUCUCUUUGAAAACUCAGAUUGAUUAUUUCAUUUAUACUUGUCAGGUAAAUCAUAUAGUUAAUAUGUCAACACGGCUUUUAAAAUUAUUUCGCUUUGGAUGCUAUAUAAUAUGUAUAAGUGAGUGGAUGUACAUGUCGAACAGGAUCUACAUUGGGCAAGAUAGGAAGUCCGUAAAGCCAAAAAUUAAGAACAGAAUGAAGAAAAAUAACUUUCCAAAAUAGGUAAAAUGGGUUAGGCUUCAAAAGUAAUGAUAUUUCUUUUGAUUUGGUAAGUCAACGAGAUAGAUUUGUGUGUUUUAAGUAGGUAACCAAAAUCAUGAAACCAGUUAUUUUUACUGAUUUGUGUUGACUAUACGCUUUUUGAACAAAUAACUGAAACAUAUCAUAAGUACUUAAAACAAUGAAUGAACAGUACUAGAUACAUAUCAGUAUAUCACAUAUAUCAGAAAACAUUGGGUUAAAAAAUCCUGUAGGAAAUCUCUAUAUAUAUUUAGCAGAUAAAUAACUGAAAUAUAUCGAGACGAUUCGUUUAUAUUGAAAGCACGUCUAGCUAAUUCUUGUCAAGUACAUACACAAGAUGAUCAACGUCAAAUAUUAUUAAAAUCAAAAUCAAAAUCAAAAUAUGAAGGGAGGAAAACAAAAAAGAGGUGCGAAGUUGACUAACAGUGACAAAGAAAGAUUGGUGUGGCAAAAUGCACCUUCUCUAGCUAGCUAAGAUAAGCCUUCCCCAUCACUGUCCUUUUCCUCCUCUUCCCUUUCCUCACCUUUUCAUCCUUUUUUUUUCUUAUUCAAUUUUAUUUACUUCUCUACCAAAGUUCAUAGUAUUUUCAAAUAUAUUCUAGAAUAUGAAUUUGUUUUAGUCUUCAACAUUGUUUAUUUGUUUAUGAGAUUUCUUUGACAUAGUCUGCAAAUGAAAAUAAAUGGUGAUGAAAGAGAGGUAAAGUGCGAUACGUUGCAAAUCAAAUUUUUUUCCCAUAUAUAUAUUUUUUUUUGUAAAAUAUUGGUUUCAUAUAUAAGAACGUAUCUAAAUUGAAAAAUGAAUUUUUCAAUUUAUUGUCUUUUCGGUUAAUUAUUUAAAACACUCGAAGUAAAGUUGAAGAACAUAUUAAAAAAGUUGAAGAACAUUAAGUCUACUCGACUCUGAUUGAUAAAAACGUGAGGGAAAGUCAACUAAGAUCUGACCUUAUAGUGGUUGGUUAGAUUUGUACUCUUUAAAGUUUUAUAUAUAUAUAUAUAUAUAUAUAUUACACAAACGCAUGCACAAACACAUAUUCCAUAUAUAAGCUUUGAAUAUGUGAAGAUUCUAUCAUUUUUUCAUAAUUUUCUGUUUUAAAAUAAGUAUAGUUAAGUGUUAUUUUCAAAUUUUUGUUUAGAUUUUGACAUAAAUAAGGUAAAGUAAAUUCAAGUCAAAAUCUAGAAAAAAAACUAUCAAAAGUCAACUUAAUUUUAGAGGUAUGAUAAAAAUUCAUACAUGUGAUAUAGGUUUGUGUGUAAAAUGUCAAAACAACACUAUGUAUAAUAAUGAAUAAGUUUUUGGGUUUUCUAUUUGACAUGACAAGUUGAUUUUGCGUUAAGAAUGCAUGUAACAGAUUUUGACAACAUGCAUCCACUGACCACUAUCAUUUUAUCGUCUUUAUAUCAACUCUACAUCUUAUAGAGUUUGGCAAGUUCACACUAAGCCUCUGCGAACAUGUAAAAACCCAACAUCAUUGGAACAAUAAACAUAAUGCUAGCGGAACAUAACGCUUUAUAAUUUUGCAGAGUUGUUCUAAGUCUUUGAACAACAAAAUUGAUGAACCAAAAUGUUGACAAACUAUUAGAUUAAAUUAUAUCCUUUGAAACGAACCCGAAAAUGUUAAUUAAUAUACAGAUAAAAUGAGUUACUAAUACCAAAUGAUCGGAAAAACUUUGUCCCAGAUCCUCUUGUUGUUGUUCCAACGAUAAAAUCCAUCGUCUUUGACAACGACGAAACACGAGUUUUUACACUCCGUAGCAUCUUUGUCCGAAUCGUACAAGACGUACGGUCUCUCGUGCCUCUCGAAAUGUGCUUCGCUGUAAAACGUUCCUAGGCAAGUCGUUGGCUGCCACACUUUAGAUCCCGCUGCCUUCUUAUCAUCGACGGCGUUGUCGCCACCAGCAGUGGUUGGGAUUUCUAUCAACAACUUUUGACCCAAUGGCACCAGUUUGUACAGCAGAGGGGUCGGAUGGCACGUGACAAACACGGGAACAUCACCACGCGUCUGCAGCUCGUUGGACACGAUAAGUGUGGCUGCACGUGUGGGUUCCGACGUAGAAAAGAGCAUCAUGGUCAUGAUCGAGACCAUCAUAAGAAUGUCCAUGAUUUUGAUUGGAAAUGGAUCUUCGAUUUUUUAAGUAUUCAUUACGUUUUAUCUUUGUCGUAAAAUCUCACUAUACGUUAUUCGCAGAUGAUUAAUGGCCGUAGUAUGAUGACUAUAUUCAUUAUUCUGUUACGAUUGGAGAUUUGUCUGGUCUGCUACGAAAUAAAACGAGUUCAGUAUUGGCCUAUCAGAAGCCCAUAUAGGCCCAAAAGCUAAAACACUUCAGGUUGGUCCAAUUAUUAGUAUUCAAAUCUCACUUUCAUUACAGUAUUUUCCUAAGACCAUCCUCAAUGGGGGUAUCUUAGAAGGCUAAAAUACCCCCACUUUUUCAAAGAAAAUAUGUAAUAUAAGGAUUUUCUUUGAAAAAGUGGAGGUAUCUUAGCUUUCUAAGAUACCCCAUUGAGGAUGCCCUAAGCGCCCAUCCAGCUAGAGCGCCAAGGACUGAUCUAAAUUGGCAGCCCAGUGUGACUGUCACCUCUGAUCACUGGAGCCCCAUGAUAAAUAGCUUUUAGAACUGCUAUGUACUGUUCGGCUUGUAGCCUCUUCUAGGGCAGAGAUAUAAACUCCAAAACAGUUUUGCGAGCACUUGCUUGUUUUCGUCAACCGUUACAAUUAAUAUAUUUCUCAAGUAAAAAAAGUAUUAGUAAUUACUUGGAAACAUACUUUGCAAAUUCUAUAUAGACCGCACCUCCCCGGAUUAAUUUUAAUUUAAUAACAUGAGCUUUGUAGUAGCACUAAGUCAAAUUCAGAGAUUUCAUUCUUUUUAUAGGUCUUUGAUUGGUCUGUGUGUGUUUGACCUCAAAAAAAUGCUUUCCUUAGAACUUCCUAUUUUUAGUAAAAUUUUCAUGUGUCUCGCUUACCAACUAAAUAAACUAAACAAAAAUGUUACAAACAACACUAAAAUCAAUGCCUCUCCCCCUAUUUUUUCUCCUCAUCUAAUAAUCCCUUCAAACCACACAAAAAAAAAGAAAAAAAAAAAGAAAAGAGGAAAUCAAAAACAAAACAAAACGAUCCAAGAGAAAACAAGAUAGAGUUAUAAGAUUGCCGACGAUCCUUCGAUCAAAUUAUCGGUGCCGGAGAAAGAAUAAGUAAAACUACUAUGAAAAAUAACACUACUACCGAAGAUUCGACAAAAUGGAUGUUAGAGAGUGUAGAGAUCGAUUCAAUGGGGGAAGGUUCUUCCAAAGGACCCGACAUUAACCUCAACAAGAACGAAGGUGGUCUGAAGAAGAACGCGUCAAGAAAUCUUGGUGUGGGAUCGAUAAUACGAACGUUAAGCGUUUCAAACUGGAGAAAGAGCGGUAAUCUCGCGUCUCCGAGCACAAGGAAAAGCGGGAACCUGGGUCCUCCGACCAGUGUUCUGCCCAAGAAGACAGGUCCACAAAGAGUGGAGAGGACAACAUCUAGCGCCGCUAGGGGACUUCAGAGCUUACGGUUCCUUGAUCGGACAGUCACCGGACGGGAACGAGAUGCUUGGAGAUCGAUUGAGAACCGGUUUAAUCAGUUCUCCGUUGACGGCAAGUUGCCGAAAGAGAAGUUUGGUGUCUGCAUUGGUACUUAACAUAUAUACUAAUACUUUCUAUAUAGGGUUCCACAUAUUAUACGUGAGAACGUGUGAUUAGUUUCGCUUUUCUAUAGUUGAUAAUACAGAUGUACUUAGCGACGAAUUUUUUUUUAAUUAUUAUUAUUAUUUUUGUAUACCUCUAUGAACUCGAAUUUGUUUUAUUAUUACUGUUUGCUUAGAAAGAAAUUUUAACGUCGAUGGUGAAUAUAUUACUAGGAAUGGGAGACACAAUGGAAUUUGCUGGAGAAGUUUAUGAGGCAUUGGGUCGUAGAAGACAAAUAGAGACAGACACUGGAAUCGAUAAAGAACAACUCAAGCUGUUUUGGGAAGACAUGAUCAAGAAAGACCUUGAUUGUCGUCUUCAAAUUUUCUUCGACAUGUAAAUUAUUUAAUCUUAUACGUUUUCAUAUAUUACAUAAACAAAAAAAAAAAUCCAAAGGCGGUUACUUAGUUUAACUAUCGUGGUUGUGGUUGCUGUUCAGGUGUGACAAGAACGGAGAUGGUAAGCUCACGGAAGAGGAAGUGAAAGAGGUCAUAGUUUUGAGUGCCUCUGCGAACCGCCUCGGGAAUUUGAAAAAGAACGCUGCAGCUUACGCGUCUUUGAUCAUGGAAGAACUCGACCCUGAUCACAAAGGAUACAUAGAGGUUCACAUUUUAUUUCAACUUUUAUAUGAUAGCUUUCUUUAUUAUAUUAUCCAGAGAGUAAUUAUGUUCUGAAAAAUUUCAUUGUUUGUAUCUUCCAGAUGUGGCAGUUAGAAAUACUAUUAACAGGAAUGGUGACAAACGCCGAUACGGAGAAGAUGAAGAAAUCGCAAACGCUGACACGCGCCAUGAUCCCAGAGCGGUACAGAACACCGAUGAGAAAAUACGUUUCGGUAACCGCGGAACUGAUGCAUGAGAACUGGAAAAAAAUAUGGGUACUCGCCUUGUGGCUCAUCAUCAACGUUUAUCUAUUCAUGUGGAAGUACGAAGAGUUCACGAGAAACCCUCUUUACAAUAUCACCGGACGCUGUGUUUGCGCCGCUAAAGGAGCAGCCGAAACGCUUAAACUGAACAUGGCUCUGAUCUUGGUACCAGUCUGUAGAAAAACCCUAACGAUCCUUAGGUCAACGUUUUUGAACCGCGUUGUCCCAUUCGACGACAACAUUAACUUCCACAAGGUGAUUGCAUAUGCGAUCGCGUUCCACGCUUUGCUCCACACUGCACUUCACAUCUUCUGUAACUACCCUAGGUUAAGCUCUUGCUCCUAUGACGUGUUCUUGACGUAUGCGGGAUCUGCCUUGGGAACUACGCAACCGAGUUACAUAGGUUUAAUGAUGACGUCCGUGUCGAUCACGGGUGUUUUAAUGAUUUUCUUCAUGGGAUUCUCGUUUACACUCGCGAUGCAUUAUUUUAGAAGGAACAUAGUGAAAUUGCCUAAACCGUUCAACGUUCUUGCUGGUUUUAAUGCGUUUUGGUAUGCUCAUCAUUUGUUGGUUCUUGCUUAUAUUCUUCUCAUCAUCCAUGGUUACUAUCUAAUCAUCGAGAAGCCUUGGUACCAAAAGACGGUAAUUACGUUAAAAUUUCCAUAUUUAAUGCUAAGAUAAUAUAUUAAUAUGUUCUAAUUUUAUCUUUUUGGUAAAUUAUAUUAUAAUGCAGACAUGGAUGUAUGUGGCAGUACCGAUGCUGUUCUACGCGAGUGAGAGGCUUUUCUCUCGUGUCCUUCAAGAACACAGCCAUCGUGUCAACGUUAUUAAGGUAGCAAACAAAAUGAACAUUGACUACACUAUUAACAUUUUCUAAAGUAAUUUAUACAUUUGAGUGUUUUCUGUUCCUAUAUAUAUUUAUUUGUUUUUAAUUGUUUUGCCUUUCAUCACAGGCUAUUGUAUAUUCGGGUAAUGUUCUUGCACUUUACGUGACCAAACCUCCCGGAUUCAAAUACAAAAGUGGCAUGUACAUGUUUGUCAAGUGUCCUGAUCUGUCAAAAUUCGAAUGGUAUCCUAAUUAAUUAUUUAGUAAAAUAAAUUAAAUGAUUGUUUUUUUGAUAAGGUAAACAAUAAUAUUGAAUUUAUCUUCCUUAUUAUUUAGGCAUCCGUUCUCCAUUACUUCCGCACCAGGGGAUGACUAUUUAAGUGUUCACAUAAGAGCUUUAGGAGAUUGGACUACUGAACUUAGGAGCAGAUUUGCAAAGGUGAUCGUUGUCUCUCUUUAUUUGCCUAAUUAAAUAAUUUUCGUUAUAGCUGACUUUUAUUUUAUUUUUAUAUCUCAUGUUAAUUAUAUGAAAUUUUAAUUCUAAAGGUAAAGUGUUUAACUUUGAUUGUAGACAUGCGAGCCACCUCAAGCAGCAGCUAAACCUAAACCAAACAGUCUUAUGAGGAUGGAAACAAGAGCAGCGGGUGUGAAUCCUCACAUUGAAGAGUCACAAGUCUUGUAAGUGAAUACUAAAGAACUGCCAGUAAAUUCUUAAAUUCGAUCUGAUUGCUGUCGAAAAUUUUUUUUUUAAAUGAUCCUGAUCAGGUAAUCAAUUUUAUUUUUAUUUUUUUGUAUCAGAUUCCCUAAAAUUUUCAUCAAAGGACCAUAUGGAGCUCCGGCACAAAAUUAUCAGAAGUUCGACAUCCUCUUACUAGUAGGACUAGGGAUUGGGGCAACUCCAUUCAUAAGCAUCUUGAAAGACAUGUUAAACCAUCUAAAGCCCGGGAUUCCCAAAAGUGUAAGUAGGAUAAAUGUUUUGUUCAUUAGGAGGUGAUAGUGUUAGUGGAACAAUUUUUAAAAUAUUGGAACAACAGGGACAAAAGUACGAUGCAAGUAUAGGAGGAGAGAGUAUAGGAGGUGAUAGUGUUAGUGGUGGAGGCAAGAAGUUUCCACAAAGAGCAUACUUUUUUUGGGUGACAAGAGAACAAGCUUCUUUUGAUUGGUUCAAGGGAGUUAUGGAUGACAUCGCCGAGUAUGAUAAAACUGUAAGUUUAUUUGAUUCAGUUUUACUACAUUAUUGUUUUUUUCUUUCCAUAAUGGGGCUUAUGAAUUGCUCUGUCGUAUAAAACAAAAAAAUUGUAAUGUUUUUUUGUUUUUGGCAGCAUGUGAUAGAAAUGCAUAACUACUUAACAAGCAUGUACGAAGCGGGAGAUGCAAGAUCUGCCUUAAUCGCCAUGGUUCAGAAACUUCAACAUGCCAAGAACGGUGUGGAUAUCGUCUCCGAAAGCCGAGUAAGUUUUCUGAUUUUUUUCGAUUGAUUACCAAACAGUUAUAUGACCGUUGUCCACUUUCGAUUUCAGUGUAAGAAAACAUACAUAAAAUCAUUUUUACUUUGAUGUCAAAAAAAAAAAAAAAAACUUAGAAGGGAAUGUCAUUAGCUAAUGAUCAGUUACGUGUAUCUCAAUUAGAUGAUUAAUUACUCUUAAUUAUCCCCCGAAACAAAUCAGAUACGAACACAUUUCGCAAGACCUAAUUGGAGGAAGGUUUUUUCUGAAUUGUCAAGCAAACACGAAGCUUGUCGAAUAGGUACUUACUAUCUUAAAUAAUUAAUUAUUAUCAACUUGAAAAACAUUAUUACUUCAAGUAUUUGGUUUAUAACCUUCAUAAAAUAAUUCUUAACAUGUGUAUUUUCAGGUGUAUUCUACUGUGGAAGUCCAACAUUGGUUCGACCACUAAAAGAACUUUGUCAGGAGUUUAGUCUCGAGUCAUCCACUCGUUUUACUUUCCACAAGGAAAACUUCUAAUUAACCAAUUUAAUCUUUAAAAAACAGAUUUUGCUUAAUCCUUAAUCAGAUUGGGAGUAAAUUUAUUAAAGACCAUAUAUGCAGGAUGUAAUUAGUUGGUGAGACAAUGUAAAGUAAUUUAACGACGUAAGAAAUUGUAUAGUAACAUUUAAAUUAAGAAAAUCUUAAAGUACUAAUGUUUAUUUUGACGGAGUUUCUUGUAUAUAUACUUUUGUGAUGAAAAUCUUUGCUACAAUUGUUUAGAACAGUUUCUAUAUUUGUAAAGUUUUGUGAACUUGUGACUGUUAUUUUGUCUUUGUCAAAAAUUUUGAAAUUGAGAAAAUUUCCCAAAUUAAUGAACAAACACUUUUAUGCUUUCUAAAAUUCGUUUUUUAGAUUCUUUCUCCUAAAUCAGAUAAGUGUAUGGAAAGACCAAAUUUUAUCCUUAUUCCUAAUGGAAGUGGAGUAGAGUAGGUAAUAUGAUAACGAAGUGUACAAAAGAGUCUAACUUGUUAAGCAAUUGUUAGUUUUGGACCUUUCGUACGCAUGGCUAAAUCAUGGAACUUUCCACAUUAUUGAUAUUUUUCAUAUAACAUGGAUUCUACACGAUUUUCUAAAGAUUUAUUCAAUUAGAUAGAUGAUAAUUUAUUUCCCGAAAAUUGCAUUCCUUAAAAAAAAAAUCCAUGUUGCGUAGAAUUAAUCAUAUUACAUUCCUGUUGAUUUCCUUUAGGUGUACUUAUACUCUGCUUUUUCUUUUUUCACGUUAUUAAAGAUUGGCUAAUCUUUGGCACUUAAGGUAAAGCAUCUUAAUAAUCAUCAUUGAUCAUUUCUGUUCAAAGGUUAAUAAAAAGAAUGUUGAUUAUUUUUGUACAAAUAUAUGGCUUAAUGAUAUAAUUGCUAGUAAUAUUUUUUAGUUUUCUGGUUGCCUCUAUUUGUUGGUGGAUAUAUACACAAUACAAAAUUACUUUUCACUCUUAAGAUAUUUAUUGUCAGAGAAAACUAAAAUUCUAAAAAAAAAAAAAUUAAGAAAACUAAAAUUCUAUUAAUUAUUUAAUAAAAUUAUUACCCUAUGAUUCUCUUCCACAUUAUUUCAUAUCAGUUUACCAAACAGAAAAGAGAAAAUGUUAAAUAAUAUAGGACAUAUGAUAUAGAUUAGUACAUGCAUAGGCAUUACAAAUAUCAAAUUUUAAAUAAGCUAUAAUAACGAUGAGCGCGUGGUUAAUUAAUUACAGUUAUCAUAUGGAACAUCAAACAUGCAUAUAUGAUCUGUUACGUACGUCGAACUCUUAAGAUUUUAGAGAAUUUUUAUGUAAUUAUCACCAUCUUUAUAUAUUCGCCUAAAAGGUGGCUAGUAACAGUCCGCUCAAAUUUGUACAUAUAUAUUCGUAUAUGAUACGUUCUAUAUAUGUAUACAUACGUGCACACAUUAUACUAUAUAUAUUUUGUUGGAGCCUUAAUCAGAAAUCAAGGGUUGGUGUAACCACAAUAUGUAUGUCAAAAAAUUAAAUAAGAAAAAAACAUGUUUUCGCACAAGUCCUCCAAUCUAAUAAACCUCGAUCUCUUCACAUACCAAUCAUGUAUUUAUGUGUAUAUCUUAGCUACGCGUAUGUAUUCAGUAUAAAGAACCCACUUUCUACGCGUAUCUAGAUCAAAUAUUCUUUUUUAAAUUUUUUAAUUAAAUGGUAAGUUUAAGACAUUUAGAUAGUUUCUCUAGACUAGAGUUCGUUGAAAUUGGUCUGAUCAGGAUUAGAUAAAUACGUAAAAGGUCAUAUAUAUAUGUUUUUAGUUUAGUGUAAUUCUAUAAUUAUUGUCGAAAAAACCGUUAAGAGAUAUCAGAAUUUCGUUUUCAAAUAAUAACAUGGGAGAUAAUAACACGGAAUUAACCUGUUUCUAAAUAUAGCUCUCGUGUCACAUGCAGCCUAGUUAAAAACUUUAAAAUGAAUAUCUAUCUAUAACUAUAUUUACUGUUAAUGAUUGUGAGUUACCAACUAAAAUGUUGUUAAAGACAUAAUUGUAAAAACUACAAAUGGUUUGAACUACAUACUAAUGAUCUAAACUCAUGUUUCAUCAUUAUGUCGUCGUCCGAUUAUUUUCUUUAGUUUCAACAUUUCUUUAUAACCUUUUUAACAAAAAAUUAUAUGAAAACUAUAUUUGACGGGAUAAGUUGAUACGUACUUGUUAGCAACCUGUCUAGAUCAUAUUUUGACUUUAUAUUUCUCAAAAUUAUAUAUUUGAAAGAGGAGAUCGAGCCAACAAUUUGCAAAUACACAUAUUAUAUACUUUUUUUAUUUGGUUAAAGCUAAAGUUACACAUAAACUUAUUGAUUAAUAAACAUAAUUAUAAGAAUAUAAUGUGUUUUAAAAAGUUCAAUAAAUAAGAAUAUGAGUAUAAAGUUGUGUAAAUAUGUAUAUAAGUAUAGAGAAACAUGUAUAAGUGGCAUGCCUUUGAGGAUACGAACAUAAAAGGGAGUUAGGUCACUUGCUUGGGAAAUAAAAUAGCCAACCUUAAUUUGAGGUUUCCUCAAUGUUCUAAUAUAUUAAAAAGAAGGAAAAAAUAUAUUGGAAAUUGCCUUCAUGGAUUUUGAUAUCUAACCCUAAUCGUGACCUUCUUUGAUAGCUACAAUCUCCCUCUCCUUGCUUAUACCCCAAGCAAUUUUAGCUUACGAAUGUUUUGACCAACUCCACAUCGGUUAAAUCUCCUUUAAAAAGUUCCUCACCUACAAAUAAAAUAAAUUAAAAUAAUUAACAAACAGAGAUGAAGUACUUAUCACUUAUAACAUGCUUAUUAAAUGAUGAAACUGAAAUGUAAUUUACUAAAACAUAACCACUAUAAUCACAAAAGUUACCCCUUCCAAGAAAAUCCAAGAGUGCGUAAAAUUUUGAUGUUCGUACGUAGAGUUGUGUUUUGGGUCUAAGCAAAAUUUAGCCAAAACGAUAUUCCUAAACUGCCACAUUUAGUCCAAGUCACUUACUUUCUCAUGUCAAAAAUUUGAAGUCUAAUAUACUCAAAGCUGUCAAAGAUGCAGCACAGGAAGAGGAACUGUCAUAUCUGAGAAACUAAAAUUGGCAAUUUUACAUUUCAUAUUUAGAAUCUACGCCAUAGUAUCGAGAAGGAAACAAUAGUUUUCGAGGAAUUGAAGAGGGUCAAAGAGUUUGACUUAUCUUUGACACCACUCAUACAUUAGCUGUUCAUACAUAAUCUAACAACUUGUCAAUAUCAAGUGUUUCUGAUUACAGGGAGUACUUCUCUACCAAUUAUCUUUUUGUUUUUUUCCAAAACAUUUACUAAUUGUUUUUUCUAGCUCUCUUGCUCAAGCAAACACCUAACUCUCCUUCCUAUAUAUACACUAAAUGUUGAAACAAUGAAUCCACAAUCUACAGCAAAUACAUAAACAAAUAACCGAGGCAGAGUAUUCAGUAAAACUUACUUGCUAUAAUCAAAGCCUCGGGGUCCAAAGCUCACUCAAAUGGCGUUUCAGCUUCUCUUAGCUAUUUUCUCUUGUGUUCUCCUUCUUCCUCUACCUGCAUUUGGGAUUACAAGGCAUUAUACGCUGGAAGUAUGUGAAGGAUUUGUUUCUUCUGUGUAGUAGUUUAAAUGGGAAUGCAAAUAAUGAUUGAAUAUUGUUACGUUUUCGCAGAUCAAAAUGCAGAACGUGACACGUCUUUGCCACACAAAGAGCCUUGUUUCUGUAAACGGGCAGUUUCCAGGACCUAAGCUUAUUGCUAGAGAAGGUGACCAGCUUCUGAUCAAAGUCAUUAAUCAAGUGCCAAACAACAUCUCUAUCCACUGGUAAAUAAUCUUCAAACCACUUGUAUCAUUAUUCAGAGUAACGGUUGAUUACUCAUAGCUGGCUUUAAUCCGUGAAAAAUCGCAGGCAUGGGAUCCGACAACUACGAAGUGGUUGGGCUGAUGGACCAGCCUAUAUAACCCAAUGUCCUAUUCAGACAGGACAAAGCUAUGUCUACAACUAUACCAUUGUUGGUCAAAGAGGCACCCUGUUUUAUCAUGCUCACAUUUCAUGGCUAAGAGCAACAGUCUAUGGUCCACUUAUCAUCCUUCCCAAACGCGGUGUUCCUUACCCGUUUGCUAAACCUCACAAAGAAGUUCCCAUGAUCUUUGGUAAGGAUGAUGAGGAAUAGAAGCAGACUGAGAAUCUGAUGAGAGUUUAUAAACAUAAUAGCUGAUUUUUUAUGGUUAACUUGCAGGGGAGUGGUUCAACGCAGACCCUGAGGCAAUCAUCCGCCAAGCAACACAAACAGGAGGAGGUCCUAAUGUCUCUGAUGCUUACACAAUCAAUGGGCUUCCUGGUCCAUUAUAUAACUGCUCUGCCAAAGGUAAUUAUUACUUCCUAUAUCUAAUUAUGGUUUAAUAAAUUAUAGCCCACUAAUCAACUUAACCAAUGAUGUAAAACAGAUACAUUCAGACUGAGAGUGAAGCCAGGAAAAACAUACCUUCUCAGGCUAAUCAAUGCUGCACUUAAUGACGAGCUCUUUUUUAGCAUCGCAAAUCACACGGUUACGGUUGUUGAAGCGGAUGCAAUAUAUGUAAAGCCAUUUGAGACGGAUACCAUCUUAAUUGCUCCUGGCCAGACCACAAACGUCCUGCUGAAGACGAAACCUAGUUACCCGAGUGCCUCUUUCUUCAUGUUUGCUAGACCAUACGUCACAGGUCAAGGAACUUUCGAUAACUCUACAGUUGCUGGAAUCUUAGAAUAUGAACCAUCUAAACAUAUCAAAGAUGCUCACUCAAGGGCCUCUAUCAAGAAUCUUCAACUCUUCAGACCGACACUCCCUGCUCUAAACGAUACAAAUUUUGCUACUAAGUUCAGCAAUAAGCUACGCAGUCUGAACAGCAAAAACUUCCCAGCAAAUGUGCCUCUGAAUGUUGAUCGAAAGUUCUUCUUCACAGUAGGAUUGGGAACAAACCCGUGCAAUCAUAAGAAUAACCAGACAUGCCAGGGACCUACUAACACCACAAUGUUUGCUGCCUCAAUCAGUAACAUUUCCUUCACAAUGCCAACAAAAGCUCUCCUUCAAUCUCACUAUUCUGGCCAAUCUCAUGGAGUGUAUUCCCCCAAAUUCCCAUGGAGUCCCAUUGUUCCGUUUAACUACACAGGCACUCCACCAAACAAUACCAAUGUAAGCAACGGGACAAACUUGAUGGUUCUACCUUAUAACACCAGUGUGGAGUUGGUGAUGCAAGACACUAGCAUUCUAGGUGCUGAAAGCCAUCCUCUCCACCUUCAUGGGUUCAACUUCUUCGUCGUUGGUCAAGGCUUUGGAAAUUUUGACCCUAACAAGGAUCCUAAAAACUUCAACCUUGUUGACCCAAUAGAGCGGAACACAAUCGGUGUGCCAUCCGGUGGAUGGGCUGCUAUUCGAUUCCUUGCAGAUAACCCAGGUAAGAGAAACAAUAACAAACCAAAGAAACACAACUUUACAUUAGCGUAAUCUAAGAUGAAUAAUAAUAACCAAGUUUACAAAAUAUUUCACAGGAGUGUGGUUCAUGCACUGUCACUUGGAAGUACAUACCAGUUGGGGUCUGAGGAUGGCUUGGCUUGUUCUUGAUGGAGAUAAGCCUGAUCAGAAACUUCUUCCUCCUCCAGCAGACUUGCCCAAAUGCUGAGAAUUCUUGCUUCAUGAUUCAAGUGCUUUCCAUUUUGUUUGUUGUCUCUUUUUUCGUGCAUUUUUUUCGUUUUUUCCCCGGCCAUUUAUCGGUUUGACAUGAGGUCAAUUCCUGUUCAAUAAUUUGACAUGAGGUCAAUUUCUUUACAAUUAUUUUCUGUUGCACAGCUCUGUUUUCUGUAAGUGUAGAUCUAUGUAAACCCCAGAUUAAUAUAUAUACACAAUCUAAUUUGCAUAUAUUGACCUUACCUUCGAUUGUUAUUACCACAAUCUCUGAAGCAACUAACUGCUGAAGAUAUACACAAAUCAUUUGAAUCAGAUGGUUCAUAUAAACUAUGAUGCAACAUCCACAUAUGACAUGUGCACAUUGUAUUUAUGUGUAGAUAUUUAUGAUGAAAUAUGGCUCUACAGUCAAAACGGUUCUGUACAUUUAUCCCAAGUUUCCUAGUCUAGUUUUCUAUUAAAAGACCUUCGGAGCAGUACAAAGUCUAAGUGAAACUCUCAGGAACCAUAGGCACAUUUGUAACUGACAAAUAGCAUGUAAGAUUUACGUACCUGACGAUUGAGGAUCAUCUGUACUUGCACUAGUUUAGUUGAACAGGACGUGGAAAUCCUUCUUCAGAAAACUUCAAGUGCCUCGCAAUUGUGCAGACUUCCUAUACUUUCAAUUCCUAAACAAAAUUGAGUUUCACAUAUAGCAUUUCUAGUUUAUUUUACAGCUGCAAUAAGUUGAUUUAAGUGAAUGCUAAUGCCAAAACUUUGCAAACAAGCAUCUUCGAAAUAUAGUCAAAGAUAAUAAGGUAGCAUCACACUACCAAAACAACAAAAACUUGAAUCAGACAACCAAAACUAAGAAGAGAAUUCCAAAAAUAAAAUCUUUCUCAAUCUUAAUUGCCACCAAGUAACAUCUUCAACUACAUUUUAACCAAAAUUUGAAAGAUUUGUUCAUUCCCACUACAAAAAUUUCCCCAACCUUGAGCUAAAACCCCAAAUUAACCAGCUUUAACCAUCAAUUCAAUCUCCUACAAUUUCCUCUUUUUUUUGCUCUUGCUCUCCUCUGAAUCCAUCCCUUCACCACUCUUCCUUUUUUUCUUGCUCUUUUUCUCCUCUGAAGCCAACUCUUCCUCAGCCUUCAUCUUCUUCUUCUUCUUCUUCUUUUUUCUCUCUUCGCUCAUCUCCUCGUCUUCCAACUUAUCCUUCACCUUCUCAUCAAUAACAUCUUUGUCUUUGUUCUUCUUUUUCUUCUUCUCCUUCUUUCUCUCUCCGCCCAUUUCCUCCUCUUCCAACUUAUCCUUUACCUUCUCAUCAGUAACAUCUUUGUCUGUGUUCUUCUUCUUCUUCUUUUUUUUAGUCUUCUCCUUAUCCUCCUGUUCCCUACUAUAAACUGAUUCCUCAGUCAUAGAUUCACUUUUCCGGUCAGGAACCUUCUCACCAUCGAAUUCGCCGGUGAAAUUCCUCUCACGCCUCGUUUCGGAGCUUGGCUUCGUACCCUUCGAUUUAAUCUCCCUGUGGAAACUCUUUAAUUGAGAAAAGGCAGCGGAGGCUCGUUGGAGGUACGCACUAACGUCCUGAGAGGCGCCAUUAUCAGAAGAAGUGAAUCCAGAGAGAAGCGUAGCCGCCUUGGAGAGGGAGAUUGGUUCAGCACAAAUAACUCUUCCGGUCACGGUCUUCAUCGGAAAGAAGCAAGCUCGAAGAUCGCCGCGCCUCUCUCCCUCUGCUCAAAUUAGGGCAAUUUCUCCCCAAAGUUUAGUACAGUACUUUCAAAAUAUACACGAAUGAAAACAAAAAUUACGAACUUCUCCUUGUUAUGUUUUCUACGAAUUGUUUUUUUUUUUUCAAAACCAGUAAUUUUCCUUUUUCUAAGGUUUUGUAUUUUCCUUUUCUGGUCAAGCUGAACAAUAUUUGUAUAUAUACAAGUACUCGCGACAAAAUCAAUGAUUAGGAUUAAUACCUCCGUGGUAAAGAGCUCUAGGUUAAGAAGUUGAAGGUCGCAGGUUCGAAGCUUAAACUAGGUUUUUUUUUGCCCCUUCACUCUUGCUCAGUGCUCCAUUGCUCUCUGUAUCUCCCGCCUGUUACUACUUCUGCUGCUUGUCUUUAAACCCUAAACCCACCUUCCUCCAUCCUCGUCUUUCUCACCGUAAGUUGUUGAUUUUUCCGAUUGAUCCCGAGUUUGUUUUGUUUUUGCUUCUUCUUCUCUGACGUCGAUUCGAACUUAUUCGGGCUUUUUGGUUUCCCCCUGUGUAAAAAGUUUGCAGCUUUUUGAUUGGAGAGAUGGAGACGAAGAUGGAAAUUGAAUACACUAAGAAGCCUUACAUCGAAGAUGUUGGUUCUCUUAAGAUGUAUGUUCUUUCACUUUUCUCCUCAAGUUAAACCACUCCAUUGAUAUAAUUUUCCCAACUACGCUCCUUUCAGCAGUUGGAUCAUAAUACUCAAUGUGCCUAAAAAUCGUCUCUUUUGCUACUGUUUGUAUGUUGAUUUUGAAGCUCAUGAAAUUUUGAUUUGGGUGUCUGAAUUCUUAUGUCAAUUGAGAUGACUGUUUACCAGUUAAAGAGUUUCUUAGCUGACGUUUUCUCUGAUUUACUUUCAUGAUUCUCUUUUUGUAUGGUCUUCUGUAGAUUUAGCUUAUGAUGAUCUUACUUUGAUACAAAUGAAUGCCUUUGGGUGUUGUUUAUGAAUGUCUGACUUUUAUGGUUUGACAUUAUUGAUUUUGUGGAGCAAAACUUGCUUGUCAGUUUCUGCUGUUUUUUCCUGCUCCGCUUUUGACUUAACUAUUAUCUCUGCAGAAAAAGCAUAAACUUCUCUAUGCUUUCUGAUCUUGAGGUCAUGAAAGCCGCUGAAGUUCAGGUCUGGAAGAAUAGUUACUACGAUCCCAAUUGUAAACCCUUUGAAGGCGGCUUGUUGGAUCCUCGAAUGGUAUCCGACUCUCUUAUAUAUGUGUUUCUUUUGGUUUAACUUUUUAUGCAUAUAACCAGUUAUUUGUAUCUGUAUAUGUAAUUCUAACCAUUCUCUAAGUGGUUUGUUCAUUAUGAUUGGGCAGGGUCCUCCAAACAAAAAGUCUAUAUGCACAACCUGUGAGGGGAACUUCCAAAAUUGUCCAGGACACUAUGGAUAUCUGAAGCUUGACCUCCCAGUUUACAACAUUGGAUACUUCAAUUUUAUCCUCGACAUAUUGAAAUGCAUUUGUAAGGUAACAGAGUUAGCCAAUUAUAUCUCUCUAGUUUCUGUUCUCGACCCUUUUAUUUUUGUUGAAUGGAAACAGUAAAGAAAAGUACAUUAUAGAAAAAUUAUUUCUAGGGAAGAUCCCUUUCGAAAUGCAGACAAUACCUAAUUUUCAUAACAAAACUGGCUGGUUAUUUCACUGUCUUUGUAGCAUCAACCGUAGUUCACAAAUAUUGUUUUUCUCCUUUCUUUUACCGCAGUGCUGUUCGAACAUGCUUUUGGACGAGAAAUUGUAUGAAGAUCACUUGAGGAAGAUGCGGAAUCCCAAAAUGGAGCCAUUGAAGAAGACUGAAUUGGCAAAAGCGGUUGUCAAGAAGUGCAGUACGAUGGCUAGCCAGAGAAUUAUAACGUGCAAAAAAUGUGGCUACCUGAAUGGUAUACUUUUGAACUAUUUUUUGACUGAAACCAAUUAGAUUCGAUAUGCUAUUUCGAAGAUGUUUAUAACCUUGAUAUAUUUUCUCAUUCUUCAUGUGUUUCAUCUUAGUUGCAAAAUUUAGCUCACAGAACAUUCUAACGAAUCUUAAGUUGCACAAGCAGAGAACUUGGGAUUUUUUUUUUUGUCAUUCUGAUUUCCAGUGCCAAAAUCCUUUAAUUGUUGUUAUUGGUUAAUCUCAAAUUAUGUUAUAUUCUAAUUUAUGCUAUGUUCUUGAAAGUGCUUCUUCCUACCCAGUUCAGUUAUAUAUACAUAUAUAUAUUUCAGUUAUGAUAAUCUAUUGAUUAUUGCAGGUAUGGUGAAAAAGAUUCCAGCCCAGAUGGGUAUAGGUAUCAGUCAUGACCGAUCUAAAAUUCAUGGUGGAGAGGUUGAUGAAUUUAAAGCUGCAAUAUCCCACAUAAAGGAGUCUACUCAAGCAAUAAAUCCUCUUACAUAUGUUCUUGAUCCUAACGUGGUGCUUGGGCUUUUUAAAGGAAUGAGUGACAAGGUAUAUUUGAGUUUAUAUCUAUAAUGCACAUGUUUUUCUACAUAGUUUCCUGCAGUAUGUUCUUUUGCUCGCAGAACAUAUGCAUUAGUAUAAAGGGAUUUUCUUAUUUAUUAUUACAGGACUGUGAACUUCUUUAUAUUGCCCACAGACCUGAGAAUCUUAUCAUAACGUGCAUGCUUGUGCCACCUUUAUCAAUCCGACCAUCUGUUAUGGUUGGUGGCUCCCAAAGGUAAGCUAUCAUUUUGAUCUUUCUCAUGUCAAUUAUACUUUUUACUGCUGGUUUUCUUGAAAGAGCGUGUUUUCUUGCUGCAGUAAUGAAAAUGAUUUAUCAGCGCGAUUAAAGCAAAUCAUUCAAGACAAUGCUUCACUUCAUAGAAUUUUAAGUCAACCUACCACUUCGGCGAAAAACAUGGUACGAUGAGUUAUCUAUUGCAUUAUUGCAUCCCUGUUAUAUUUGUGUAUUAAUGCAUUUGGUGCUGUAAAGUUUGUCUCUGUUUUUGUUAAAUCUUACUUCGAAAUGUUUUCUUGGUUUACCCUUUUAUUAACUUUUCUUAUAUUACUAUUUCUUGUUAUAUCAUUUUCUUCUUACUUAUUUUUUGAGGAUUUCUUUUUAGCAAGUGUGGGAUACAGUACAAAGCGAGGUUGCAAAAUACAUUAACAGUGAAGUCCGUGGUGUUCAAAACCAGCCAGACAGCAAACCAAUGAGUGGAAUUCUUCAGCGUCUCAAAGGAAAACAGGGACGUUUCCGUGCAAACUUGUCAGGAAAGCGUGUCGAGUACACUGGUAGAACUGUUAUUUCACCUGAUCCCAAUCUGAAAAUUACAGAGGUAUCUUUUCAUAAAUGGUGUUAAAUUUUUGCUUUUUGUUUAUAUUUUUGGUUUAACUUAUCACAGAGGUAACUAAACUUUUCAGGUAGGAAUUCCCAUCCUUAUGGCUCGGAUCUUAACUUUUCCUGAAUGUGUUUCCCGUCAUAAUAUUGAGAAGUUAAGACAAUGUGUCCGUAAUGGCCCUAAUAAAUACCCUGGUGCCAGAAAUGUCAGAUAUCCGGAUGGUUCUUCAAGGUAAUGUUGUGUCCUAGCUUUGUUACUUCUUGGUUGAUGCAUACUUUUAAAGGGGAGGAAACUGAUCUUGAUGAGUUAAUAUAUCUAGAUAGCUAGUUUUCUCAGUUGAAGUGAUCUUCAGAUUCUGUAAAAUUAUGUGAAAUUGUAAAUCUAUGUUGACUCGUGUAUAGGUUUUGUUCAUGGUAUAUAGGUAGAAAUGAAAAUGUGCAAGUAACAAUUUUUCCUCUUAAUGAAGCCAAGUCAAACCAUUGAGACUUGUUUCAAGAAAAUAGUUACAUUAUUACUGAACUGAAGUUACCUGAUACCACUGAAGGACUCGUCAUAGGGUCAUUUGCAUGUGAUUGGGUCAUCAUAUGGGGGCAUUAACACAUUUCAUUUCAGGGCUUUGGUUGGUGAUUAUCGCAAGCGUAUUGCUGAUGAACUGGCCAUUGGGUGCAUAGUUGACCGCCAUUUGGAAGAAGGGGAUGCUGUUCUUUUUAACAGGCAGCCAAGUCUGCAUCGAAUGUCUAUCAUGUGUCACAGGGUCAGUACUGCUUUAGAAUGCUUAGUCCUAAUCCUAUGCUUUAGAAUGUCUAUAAUUUUUUGCUCUCAUACUAAUCCUAAUCCUAAUUUUACAUUUGUUGUCCUGUAGGCAAGAAUAAUGCCUUGGAGAACGUUGAGGUUCAAUGAAUCGGUUUGUAACCCAUAUAAUGCUGAUUUCGAUGGUGAUGAGAUGAACAUGCAUGUACCACAAACAGAGGAGGCUCGGACAGAGGCUAUUACAUUAAUGGGGGUACUUGCUCUUUUACUUAGCAUCAUAUUAAGUUUCUUAGGGGUAGUCAAUUAUACGUUGGUUACAUUUAACACUCUUUAUGCUCAUAUUAAUGCACACAUACAUAAGUAGCAGAUGAUUAUGAGAUGGAGUCUUACUUAACAAAUUCCACCAAUGAUUUUCAACUAAAUCAACUGAACCUUUAGGCUUUCCAAAGCAAUUUAGAUUCUGUAGUUGAGGGAAUUCUGAGUUUAAAAAUGUUUGAAAAACUUUAUUUGUAAUGUGUAUAUGAACGAUCUUGAUGGACAGAAGGGAUGAUAGAGUUAAAGAGAGGAAAUUUUUUCAUCUAAGUUGUGUUUGUCGUUAGAUAGCUACAGUUAUACUCGUCUGUAUAACUGUUGACAGGACUAAUUAUCUGGUUGAUAUUUUCCCUUCUGGUUGAUUAUUUACUUCUUCCUUGAUUGGUAUUUCAGGUACAAAACAAUUUAUGCACCCCAAAAAAUGGAGAAAUUUUAGUAGCAUCAACGCAGGAUUUUUUGACAUCUUCCUUUUUGAUAACGAGAAAGGACACAUUUUAUGACCGUGCAGCCUUUUCACUUAUAUGUUCUUACAUGGGAGAUGGCAUGGAUGCUAUUGAUUUGCCCACACCCACAGUCCUUAAGGUAUGAGACCUCUACAUGUUUUUCACCUCUAUAGUUUAUCUCAACUGACUUGAGAUUGUUAGAUAGCUACAGCUUGUUCUGUUGGUAUCAACUAUUUUAUAUUUUUAUUUCUAUUUUAUGUGCUUGUUUAAUUCUCUCAUUAGCUUUCUGCUGUCCUACUUCUUCUGGGAAUCCGUCGUCACUGAUUCUUUCUUUUCUUUUAAUCUAGAGAUAAUAGUUCUUAUCUUUGCUCAUCUCACCUUAAUUUCUUUUUCUGGAUGCUCAAGGUUAUAGACAUACUUUGUGGCUAUAUUUUGGCCUUCCCAUAAUGUUAAAGACCUUUUACAUAUCACAUGUUUAAAAACUGCUCCAGUCCAACUACUGUAUCAGCCUGAAUUUGCAUGACAUUUUACAUUAUUGUCUUGAGUUUAAUUAAUGGGUCAAUGUUAGUUAUUGAUAUUUAAUCUGCAUGGUCAAAUAAGUUUUGGUCUUGUGGACACUGGGAAUUCUUCUGCCUUUUUAGCAUUUUCUUUCUUUCUAUUAAUUUCUUAUCUAGAUGCUAUUUUUUAUGCAGCCAAUAGAGCUUUGGACUGGUAAACAAAUUUUUAGUGUUUUGCUGCGUCCAAAUGCAAGUGUUAGAGUCUACGUAACUCUUAAUGUGAAAGAGAAGAACUUCAAGAAGGGAAAUCAUGGUUUCGAUGAGACAAUGUGCACAAAUGAUGGAUGGGUUUAUUUUCGAAAUAGUGAGCUAAUAUCAGGACAAUUGGGGAAGGCUACGUUAGGUAAGUCCAAGAUGGAAUGCAAGAUGUAGCAAAUGCAUCAGAUAGCUGUUCAUUCUGGGAUUUUCUUUCGUGUAUUUUGAGCACUUGAUAUUUUUAUCUAGGGAAUGGAAACAAGGAUGGAUUAUAUUCUAUUCUUCUAAGAGAUUACAACUCUCAUGCUGCUGCAGUUUGCAUGAAUCGGCUAGCAAAAUUGAGGUGAGUUCAUUUUUAUGCAUAUGGGAUUGUUUUAUCUUUUCUGACUACUUUUUCCUUGAUCUCACUGCAACACUUCAAUCUUUAUUAUCCAUCUUUGUCUUGAUUAUUCGUUUUCUGCUUCAUCUCUAUAAUUAAUUUCAAAAGUUAUCUGUUCUUGCUUUGUAUGUACUGUGUUUUCUGUGACCUUUCUCUGCUAUCUGCCAUUGCUGCAUCGCGGCAUUGAGUAAAUCAAAGUUUCUUGUCUAAUUGGUAGCUUUUUUAUCUUGUUUUGUGCAGUGCUCGGUGGAUUGGAAUCCAUGGAUUCUCCAUUGGAAUCGAUGACGUUCAACCUGGGGAAGAGUUGAGUAGGCAAAGGAAAGACGCAAUCCAGUCUGGAUAUGACGACUGCCAUAGCAUAAUUGAGAAUUUUAAUCGAGGAAAUUUGCAACUUAAAGCUGGUCUAGAUGGUGCAAAAACAUUAGAAGCUGGCAUAACAGGGAUUCUUAAUACAAUUCGAGAAGACACUGGGAAGGUGAAUACGUAGCUUAUAUUUCCAGUUAGUAUAUUCAUGUUUUAAGGUAGAAAUGUGAUUUAAUUUACUAAGAUAGGUGUAUGGCCUGAGGUGACACUUUGAUUUGCAAUUAUAUUAUUUUUUUGCGUUCUAGUUUCAUUAGUUUCUUGUUUCAAAGGUGAGUUAUAAAUGUUUCCAAGAUGAGUAACGAGUAAAAAACUCUAUACUGAAGGAAUAUCUUUGACAGUUUAUCUACAUUAAUCAAAUGACAAUGAAUCCUUAAUCUUGUCAUUAUAUUUGUGAUAUACAGGCCUGUAUGGACGGAUUACAUUGGAGAAACAGUCCCUUGAUCAUGUCACAAUGUGGUUCCAAAGGAUCUCCUAUCAAUAUCAGUCAGAUGGUCGCAUGUGUUGGUCAGCAGACAGUUAAUGGUCACCGUGCUCCUGAUGGAUUUAUAGAUCGAAGCCUUCCUCAUUUCCCUAGGAUGUCCAAAUCACCUGCAGUAAGUAUACAGCUUGCCAACCACUCCCCCCGAUUGACUGAUUUAUUUUUGUUCGAAGAUGAUCUGUUAAGUGUUUGUUCUAUUUUCACCUCUCUUGCGUUGCAAUACUCCCCCUAUUUUAACCCCCCUGAGCAAUCUUUAACAUAUUGGAUGCUGCUAGCUCUCCUAAUUACCAGAAAUGUUUUGGAAAAUUUCUUAAGCUAUUAGUUGGAGGUGCUCUGAACAAGUAGAACCAUUUCUCACCACUGAAUAAUUUAUAGUAGGCUUCUUGAGCCUGACCCUAUAGUAGCCUGAUCAAACCAUUUUCCGGUCUGAUUUACUGCUUUGAGAGCUAGGACCUGAUCUCAUGUCUUCUUGGCAUUGCAGGCUAAAGGUUUUGUUGCUAAUUCGUUCUACAGUGGUCUUACUGCCACAGAAUUUUUCUUUCACACUAUGGGUGGACGAGAAGGUCUAGUUGAUACAGCGGUAUGCAUAAAUCCGUCUCUUGUUUUUUCCAUCCUGCUCCACUGUAAAAUAUGAAAAGGUUUUCACUGAAAGAGACAGCCAUGAUGGUUCUCUGUAGGGUGACAGUGUUUUAAUAUCUGGAAUGAAGAUAGUCUUCACCCUUUUGUAACUAUACUCUUGUCUAUUGCAGGUGAAAACUGCCAGUACAGGUUACAUGUCCCGUAGAUUGAUGAAAGCCUUGGAGGAUCUAUUAGUCCAUUAUGACAACACAGUACGAAAUGCCAGCGGAUGUAUACUUCAAUUUACUUAUGGGGAUGAUGGAAUGGACCCAGCACUAAUGGAAGGAAAGGAUGGAGCUCCUUUAAAUUUUAAUAGAUUAUUUCUGAAAAUUCAGGUGCUUUUUUUGGAUAUUUGUAUAUUGGUUGUUUGGUCUCUCUUUAUUUAGAGUUUUAUCACAAUCGGUUGUUGCAUUUGCAGGCUACAUGUCCUCCUCGAUCUCACCACAACUAUCUUUCUUCAGAAGAAUUGUCGCAAAAGUUUGAAGAGGAAUUAGUAAGACAUGAUAAAAAUCGGGUUUGCACUGAUGCCUUUGUGAAAUCUCUUCGAGAUUUUGUUUCCUUGCUCGGAGUUAAGUCUGCAAGCCCGCCCCAGGUUUUAUAUAAAGCAUCUGGUGUGACUGAUAAGCAACUCGAGGUGAGUUUCUUUGUCUUCCUUUUGUAGAAGAAAAAUACUCUGUGCAUUUUGCAUUUCAGUGUUCUUUGUGCGAGUCCUUGAUUAUAUGUACUACAUCUAAUCGACUAAAAAAUUUCACACCUAUUUUCUCCAGCGGUAUAUUUUCUAUAAGCUGAAGAAAAUUUCCCAUUUCUUGUGGUGUUUGGAAAAAAUAUGAAAUAUUACCUCUGAUAUAUAGAAAUAUGCAGGUAUUUGUAAAAAUUUGUGUAUCUCGCUAUCGGGAAAAAAAAAUUGAGGCUGGGACUGCAAUUGGGACAAUAGGAGCUCAGAGUAUUGGAGAACCUGGGACACAAAUGACUCUUAAAACUUUUCACUUUGCCGGAGUUGCGAGCAUGAGUAUCCUUGUUAAAAAUAUGUAUUUUCAGAAUGUCGCUACAAAACUAGUGCUUAUGAGCACAUAUGAGUAGUUUGUUGUUUUGAUUUCCUGAUUCUGGUUCAGAUAUCACACAAGGAGUCCCCCGAAUUAACGAAAUCAUAAAUGCUUCAAAAAAUAUAAGCACACCUGUCAUCUCUGCAGAACUUGAGAACCCCCUGGAAUUGACUAGUGCACGAUGGGUGAAAGGACGCAUCGAAAAAACUACUCUAGGACAGGUUCUCUUUUCCUCCAAAUUUUGAUCUCAAUUAUUUUACCUAUCCAAUCUUUUUGAUAGUUGCUGCUGCUUGUUUUAAGUUCAUAUUGCAGAUGGCAAUUUAUUAAUAACAACUAUUGGAUUGUUGGACCAGGUUGCUGAGAGUAUCGAGGUGCUAAUGACUUCAACAUCAGCGUCAGUGAGAAUAAUUCUUGACAAUAAAAUAAUCGAGGAGGCAUGUUUAUCUAUAAGCCCCUGGUCGGUAAAAAAUUCCAUCCUUAAGACCCCCAGAAUCAAACUGACCGAUAAUGUAAGUUCCUUAGAUUUUAUUGAUGUGUUCAUUGCGGGGCACACAGGUCUUUAGUCUCAUAGCAAUGUAAAUUUUGCAGGAUAUUAGGGUCUUAGAUACGGGAUUGGACAUUACUCCUGUGGUGGAUAAAAGUAGAACUCAUUUUAAUCUCCACAAUCUGAAGAAUGUGCUGCCAAGUAUUAUAGUGAAUGUGAUAUUCGUUAAACCACUCUCUCUCGCAUAUAUACAAAAAAUUUGUACGAUUCUUCAAGUAUAUUUUAUCUUUCACCGACUGAGAGAAUUCUUUCUGUUGAUUUGUUAUUAUAGGGGAUCAAAACAGUUGAGCGAGUUGUUGUCGCGGAGGAUAUGGAUAAAAAUAAACAGAUAGAUGGGAAAAAAAGGUGGAAACUAUUUGUGGAGGGGUAAGUUUUCUUGAGCUUCAAGAGACGAGAUUUCCUCUGUUCUUUUUUCCUUACUGUAAGUGCUAGCUUAGCUGAUAUAACAUGUCUCGUUGGGCAUGAUUUGAUAUGGUGGAUACUUGAUUUUGUCAUUAAGCAGUCUUUGUUUCUGUUUUUUGGUAAGCCACUGAUAUGAUUGUCAGUAUUUCACAUGCUUAAACCAAAAUUUUGAACUAAACGAAAUGCUUUCUAAUACAAAUACAUGUCCAUUUGGAACUCUCAUGAAUAACCAACAGAACUUCGAAGGAUAGUUAUUGACAAAAUUGUGGUGUGAAAGAGAAAAUGUGCUCUCUUUCUAUUUCCCGUUUGAAUAUUUUUCUUGAUAUAUGUUUCAGCACAAACCUCCUGGCUGUUAUGGGAACUCCAGGAAUCAAUGGGAGAACUACUACAAGUAAUAAUGUUGUCGAAGUGAGCAAAACACUGGGAAUCGAAGCUGCAAGGACAACAAUUAUUGAUGAAAUAGGGACAGUAAUGGGAAACCAUGGUAUGAGUAUAGACAUUCGUCACAUGAUGCUUUUGGCUGAUGUCAUGACGUACAGGGUCAGUUCUAAGACACCUGAAUCUGUUAUUAUGAUGUCUAUUCUCUAAUAAUAACUUUUUCUAAUCUUGUCAUAUUAACGAUAAAAAUGUCAUUUCAAUUUCUUGAUCAGGGGGAGGUUCUCGGGAUACAAAGAACCGGGAUUCAGAAGAUGGAUAAAAGUGUGCUGAUGCAGGCAUCUUUUGAGAGGACUGGAGAUCAUUUAUUUAGUGCAGCAAUUAGUGGAAAGGUGGAUAACAUAGAGGGAGUUACAGAAUGUGUGAUUAUGGGCAUACCAAUGAAGCUCGGAACCGGAAUACUCAAAGUCCUCCAAAGGUCAGAUUUCAUUCCUCUUUUUUAAGGUUCAGGUUGCGACUUUUCCUUAUGACAUUACUGGAUUUCUCUUGACUUACUGCAUCCAUGAGCCCUUUUAUGAUAUUGGAAAAUAUGUAAACGUUCAACAUAGGCUUAAGCUUAAUUCGUUAUCCUUUCAUUGUCUUCAUAGAUUCCGGUAUCAAAUACCAUUUUUUCGGUUUGUGCCAUAGCCGUAUAAAUCUCCUCUGUGAAACUAACUAUGUGUUAAUCUUGAUCAACAGGACCGAUGAUCUACCCAAGUUGAAAUAUGGAGCUGAUCCAAUUAUCUCUUGAAAAGACGGAAACAUAGUUUCAUAGCAGUUCACUUUGCAAACUAUAUAAGAUGACAAGCAAUGCAAGAUCAGGCAGAUGAAUGAAAUCAAUUCUUUGGCUCUAACUCAAGCACCCAAUUUGCAUACUAACGGGUAAGCAAAGGCCGGGCAAUAAUCCGCCAAUUUAGAUAAGCCCACGGUUAGGAAAACUUUGCAAGCAUAAUUUAGAUUCAAACUAGAUAUCGGAUUUUUGGUUUACACAAGGGAAAAAUGGUUGGGUGCCCUGACUGUUAUUGACAAAAUAUCCCUGAGCCACUUUCGUUUGAAUCUUUAUAUCUCAGUGAAAGUCACAAAUAGUAACAGUUUACAAAAGAAGAACAAAAAAAAAAAUAUGCUAUUUUGGCUUAGUCAUAGAGUGUAAUCUGCAGCUGCGAUCCAUCUGGCUCUGUCAAGACCUGUCUUAUGAAAGCUCUUCUCCACCACACCUCAAACGCACGUUGAACAUUUGGACAGUCAUCGCCUUUGCUCAGAAACCGAUCAAACCAUUUCAUUAGAAUCACCUGUUGUUGUCUCAGCGACAAGGUCAAUAUGGUCUGGCUGAGUCCAUCUUCCACAAGUUUCCUAUCCAGAGAUCUCGAAGAUAACCGUCUCAUCCACCCAAAAUCAUCAUACAAAGCCUCUAACCAGGUAUUCAAAACCGCAAACCUAGUCUCCCUGUUCACCAAGAUCCUUCCUUUACCUAUACCAACACAUAUCUGCGCGGUGAUCUUGCUUAUUUCGUGUCUGUACAUUGUUGGGAUCUUGGAAUGAAGAUUCGCAAGCUCCUUUUGAUCCGCCCAUAGUUUCACAAACUCAUCACACAUUUUCUUCUCAAUCAAGAUAUCUACCAUCCAUAGCAUGUUCUCGGCUUCUCUGGCGAUUUCUCCCAUCAAAGCACCACGGUCUUUCCCCGGAUCAUUCAUUUGUGUAGUCACUUCAGAUAAGCAAAGCACAAGAGAUGUGAGACAUCUAUGGCACAAACCGUAGAGUGUGUCUUUAGAGACAUCAUAAUCAGCUUCUUCCCUAAUCAACUUAAAGAUCAAAACUUUCAUCUCUCGCCGAGCUUUAUCAUCUUUGGCUUGUAGAACACCAGUGAGAAGCUUCAAGAAGAUAUCAUCGGUUCUCGUUCUCGUCGAGGAAGUCGAAGGUUCAGAUGAAACUCUCUGAAGAAUCAAAGUGACCGAAUCAGCAGGAAGAUGAAGCUCUUCAAGGCAAGACACAACAAUCUCUUCUUCAUCUUCUGACCAAGGAGCAGCUUCCAAAUGCUGCAAACAAGACUCUACUCCUUCAUCAAACAUUAUAGCUGCAGAAACCUAUACAAAAAAAAAAAAGAGAUUCACCAUCCAUCACAAAAUCAAAGCAAACAAACCAAAAAACAAUCUUAUCAAAAUCAAGAUGGAACAAAAUACCUUAAGUAAAGCCAAGAUUUUGAUGACAUUUUCACCGAUCAACUUCUUCUUGAGAUCAUCACUAUACAUCAAAACCACAGUCUCAACAUAAAUCUCCAACUCAUCACACUCGCUUAUCUCCACCAUGUGAGAAACCCCUUUCUCUCUUCUAGAAUUCAUCUUCUCCAUGAAAAACCUGCUCUUCUCCGACAAAACCUUCCGAUGAACAUCCAUGGUGACUCUGUAACCGUCUUUUCCCACCACAGUCAGCUUAACGUCGCUUGGCCCGAGGCUGUGGCCGUAAACGACGCCGUUCUUGAACUCGGUCAAGAUUUGAGCCACGCGCGCGUGAGAUUUCCUCCGUGGUGGCGGCUCGCGGUUGUGCUCAUCGGACAUCAUAUCAAAAAGAGUCGGGUUGGAGUGGGUCGAUUCGUUAGGCGGAGGAGGCGGCGGAGGAGGAGGAGGGGAGGCGGUGGAGAAUUUAACGGGAGAUGUGAUUCUUGACGGAGAAAACGAGAGAGAAGGGUCAGCGAUAAACCCUUGUUUGAUCAUCGUUGAUACUUCUCUUGACGCCAUUGAAGAAAGAAAAAAUUCUCAAACUUUCUCGAGCAAGAAAAUUCCCGCGGGAAAAAUUUAGCAAAGUGACUGAGUGAAGAAAAACAAAAAAUAUAAUCUCAAAAAGAAACAAGAAAAAGAGGUAAAUGGGGGAAACCACAAAAUCUUGUCGACUUUAAGAAGAAGUUUAAAGAGAAGACAAAGAAGAUUGUGAAAAAAUUUGUUUUUCUUGGGAAAACAAAACAAAGGUGCAGAUAUGUUUUAUGUUUAUAUAUAUGUAUCCCCACAAGAAAAAUGAAAUUGGGAGAAUCAGAAUCCAAGAAAAUGAUAGGACUUUGGAUCUGUGAAUAGAAAUACAAAUACAAUUGCAAUGGCGAGUGAGUGAGUGAGUGAGUAAGAGAAAAAAAAUGAUUAUAAAAAAUAAAAUAAAAAGUUACUUGUUUUAUGUAUCUUUUUACAGAUAGACAGAUAGAUAGAUCAUUGCCUCCAUGUGCUCUCAAAUUACAUACAUUGAGAAAAUUUAAAUAUUUUCAUAUAUCAUAUAGUUGGAAUUCGAGAUAAACUCAAAGACCAAAGGUAACAAACUUUUACGGUUGAAAUUUGUCAUUUAGUAAAUAUAUCAUUUCAUUCAUAUUUUCGAUUUUACAUUUUUUUUAUUAUCCCAUCUGAGAGAGAGAGGGGUACACAUGGAUUUGAAAGCUGAGGGACAAAUCUAUAUAAAUCAUCUGUUCAUACUGUUAGAAUUAUGCGUUUGUUUGAUCAAAAGAUUUUUAUCU